UACCCUCCUCAUUCUUCUUCCCCAUCUCAAACCCUCAGAGACCAGAACCACAAAACCCUAGCCGCCUCUAGGCAAUUUGCACCAGAAACACGGCGGCAACGACGCCGCCGGUCACCCCGUUAACACCGCAGAACCCCAUCACACCCUAAUGCCAAAUCCACUAACCCCUAACCUCGAAUCAAACGGAACCUUCUUGAAUCUUCAUUUGAAGAUUCGAGCCCAGAUUCAAC
RNAcentral lists this long non-coding RNA (230 nucleotides) under Nicotiana benthamiana. RNAcentral's name for it is "long non-coding RNA (NBEN_LNC006541)". Lineage: Eukaryota; Viridiplantae; Streptophyta; Magnoliopsida; Solanales; Solanaceae. The record is from RNAcentral.